Acanthosepion pharaonis is the source of this 98-nucleotide non-coding RNA. The record is from the annotation of a GenBank genome assembly. NCBI's taxonomy places the organism in Eukaryota, Metazoa, Mollusca, Cephalopoda, Sepiida, Sepiidae.
UUGAAACACUGGUUCUCAUAAGAUCACUGAAUUUAAGCAACAUUGAUCCUGGUCAGUACUGAGAUGGGUGACCACUUGAGGAUACCAGGUAUUGUAAG